ACAUCGCUCUUGAUAUAGACAUAGAGAGUCGAACCUGCCCAGUGAUAUAUCACAUAUUCAACGGCCGCGGUACUCUGACCGUGCAAAGGUAGCAUAAUCAUUUGCCCUAUAAUUAAGGGCUAGCAUGAAGGGUUUGACAAGGGCACCCCUGUCUCUGCAGAAAUAAUCGGAAUUUAUCCUAUAGGUGAAGAUACCUAAAUACAAUUAAAAGACAAGAAGACCCUAUCGAGCUUAAAAAUCACCUGUGAUAUAAAGAAAAUAAUUAUUAUAUUUCUCUUCACAGAUAAUUUUUUAGUUGGGGCGACUAAGGAACAAAUAAAGCUUCUUUUUACCUAAAAUCAUUAUUUAGAUCCAUACUAAUUAUGAUUAAAAGAAUUAGUUACCGUAGGGAUAACAGCAUAAUCUUUUUUGAGAGUUCUUAUCGAAAAAAAGGUUUGUGACCUCGAUGUUGGACUAGAAUAUCCUGAUAGGUGUAGAAGCCUUCAAGGGUUGGUCUGUCGACCAUUAAAUCUACGUGAU
RNAcentral lists this ribosomal RNA (519 nucleotides) under Tectarius spinulosus. RNAcentral's name for it is "partial 16S ribosomal RNA". It matches the Rfam family "Bacterial large subunit ribosomal RNA", at positions 1813 to 2604 of the family's 2925-position model. Lineage: Eukaryota; Metazoa; Mollusca; Gastropoda; Littorinimorpha; Littorinidae. The record is from RNAcentral.